GAUGAAGAACGUAGUGAAAUGCGAUAAGUAAUGUGAAUUGCAGAAUUCAGUGAAUCAUCGAAUCUUUGAACGCACAUUGCGCCCGCCAGUAUUCUGGCGGGCAUGCCUGUCCGAGCGUCAUUUCAACCCUCGAACCCCUCCGGGGGUCCGGCGUUGGGGAUCGGGAACCCCUAAGACGGGAUCCCGGCCCCGAAAUACAGUGGCGGUCUCGCCGCAGCCUCUCAUGCGCAGUAGUUUGCACAACUCGCACCGGGAGCGCGGCGCGUCCACGUCCGUAAAACACCCAACUUCUGAAAUGUUGACCUCGGAUCAGGUAGGAAUACCCGCUGAACUUAAGCAUAUCAAUAAGCGGAGGA
This 356-nucleotide unclassified non-coding RNA is filed under the name soil metagenome. RNAcentral's name for it is "partial contains 5.8S ribosomal RNA, internal transcribed spacer 2, and large subunit ribosomal RNA". The stretch from base 1 to 120 matches the Rfam family "5.8S ribosomal RNA", at positions 35 to 154 of the family's 154-position model. The record is from RNAcentral.